UGGGGAAUAUUGCACAAUGGGCGCAAGCCUGAUGCAGCAACGCCGCGUGAGGGACGACGGCCUUCGGGUUGUAAACCUCUUUUAGUAGGGAAGAAGCGAAAGUGACGGUACCUGCAGAAAAAGCACCGGCUAACUACGUGCCAGCAGCCGCGGUAAUACGUAGGGUGCAAGCGUUGUCCGGAAUUAUUGGGCGUAAAGAGCUCGUAGGCGGUUUGUCGCGUCUGCUGUGAAAAACCCGAGGCUCAACCUCGGGCCUGCAGUGGGUACGGGCAGACUAGAGUGCGGUAGGGGAGAAUGGAAUUCCUGGUGUAGCGGUGGAAUGCGCAGAUAUCAGGAGGAACACCGAUGGCGAAGGCAGUUCUCUGGGCCGUAACUGACGCUGAGGAGCGAAAGCGUGGGGAGCGAACAGGAUUAGAUACCCUGGUAGUCCACGCCGUAAACGUUGGGCGCUAGAUGUGGGGACCAUUCCACGGUUUCCGUGUCGCAGCUAACGCAUUAAGCGCCCCGCCUGGGGAGUACGGCCGCAAGGCUAAAACUCAAAGGAAUUGAC
Molecule: ribosomal RNA, 550 nt
Filed under: uncultured bacterium
Lineage: Bacteria
Description: partial 16S ribosomal RNA
Rfam family: Bacterial small subunit ribosomal RNA
Source: RNAcentral